This 19-nucleotide microRNA is filed under the name Mus musculus (house mouse). RNAcentral's name for it is "microRNA 5111". The record is from RNAcentral. Lineage: Eukaryota; Metazoa; Chordata; Mammalia; Rodentia; Muridae.
AAGCGCAAGGCCCUGGGUG